RNAcentral lists this ribosomal RNA (497 nucleotides) under uncultured bacterium. Its description in RNAcentral is "partial 16S ribosomal RNA". It matches the Rfam family "Bacterial small subunit ribosomal RNA", at positions 36 to 507 of the family's 1533-position model. The record is from RNAcentral.
UCUUCCCUCUGGCGGCGUGCCUAAUACAUGCAAGUCGAGCGAACAGAUUAGGAGCUUGCUCCUCUGACGUUAGCGGCGGACGGGUGAGUAACACGUGGAUAACCUACCUAUAAGACUGGGAUAACUUCGGGAAACCGGAGCUAAUACCGGAUAAUAUAUUGAACCGCAUGGUUCAAUAGUGAAAGACGGUUUUGCUGUCACUUAUAGAUGGAUCCGCGCCGCAUUAGCUAGUUGGUAAGGUAACGGCUUACCAAGGCAACGAUGCGUAGCCGACCUGAGAGGGUGAUCGGCCACACUGGAACUGAGACACGGUCCAGACUCCUACGGGAGGCAGCAGUAGGGAAUCUUCCGCAAUGGGCGAAAGCCUGACGGAGCAACGCCGCGUGAGUGAUGAAGGUCUUCGGAUCGUAAAACUCUGUUAUUAGGGAAGAACAAAUGUGUAAGUAACUAUGCACGUCUUGACGGUACCUAAUCAGAAAGCCACGGCUAACUACGUG